Molecule: long non-coding RNA, 1032 nt
Organism: Gymnogyps californianus (California condor)
Lineage: Eukaryota; Metazoa; Chordata; Aves; Accipitriformes; Cathartidae
Exons: 3
Source: RefSeq, a predicted model, not a curated record
GAAUCGAAUAUUUAAGACAACCCAGUGGUAAGUGUGGUCACCAACAGCAGGAGAAAUAGCACAAAAUUGGCAAACUUGCUCUGCUGGUCUCAGAUUUUUGGCGAACACACCAUUUGUCAGGGUGUUGACAUUGGAACAGUUAUCUUCUGUUCUUUUAUUUAGGAGUGUUUCUAAUUUGUAUAAAUCCUCGAUUAUUUACCAGAUGUGCGGCCUGUGUCACGGUCCCCUGUGUUCCAGAUGAAAGCUCUAGCCACUGGCUUGUGGGAGAGACAGAGACUUGUUUCUUGGUUCCAGUAAAUAUUUCUGAAGCCUCAUUUGAAAUGUCAGACAAUGCAUUUCCUUCAUCACUGACUAAUUUCAUAAGCCUCACUCUGGGUCGUCUCACUGCGUCCUUUGCACAGGCUGAUUCAUCUCUGUCAUACGUAAAACAGGAUCUGAAUUUUUCCCUCCACGAUGGAAAAGGUCCUGACUGUGACAUGCCUUCAGGGAAUCCCACAGUUUCCAUCUGAGGCAGGUACAUGCAUUUUAAGUGGAGGCACACACCAAUGCCUAGAGAGCAUUUGCAGCUGCAGUAGGGCACAGGAAAAUGGGGUGAAGGAAGAGGAUACAGAUAACAUUGACGUUAACGCACUUCCAAGAGCUAGGGUCCUCUGAUUUUCCAAAUCUGUCCAUUGUGUACACAGCUUUUGUUUUGUACACAACUCUUAUUUUGGUUUGCUGUUAAUUUGUCUUUCUUUGAUAUUAAAUACAAAUUGUGAAAUGUACAGAAUGUGCACUGUUGUUGCCUUCACAGAAAAAAACCAAAAAACUUCUGUGACUUGCUCAUUUGGAUUUAUAGAACAAUUUGAUGGAUUUUCCUGUUAAUUAUGCAAUUCAUCUGCUAGGAGAUGUGCUCUUGUUCAGUCUGUGUUGUUAAAUUCAUGCAACCCUUGCCUUAAAUCUCCAUGUGUGCUAACAUAUUUGUAUAGAAAGUGCAGUGACAAGUGUGAACAAGCUAAAGAUGUUGUGAAUUAAAUUUACAGUGUCAUUUGC